CAAAUCUUUGAAAAGAAUAUUUGACUAGCUUAUUUCUAAACCUAAAAUCUUUCUCCCUUUCAUUUCUCUCUCUACUCUCACCUUUUCUCUUGGCCCUCUUUCCUUUCUCCACGCAGCUCUUUCACUUCUUCUCACACACAGAUCCAAGUUCCUUCUUCUUCGUGGAUCCAACUUCUUCUUCUAUCCGGUGCAUUCCUUCCUUCUUUUUCCUGUUGUUGUUGCUGCACUUUUUGUUGAAGGAUAUGUCCAGAAGAAGUCACUAACAACCUCAUAUUUCUCCACACGUCUACUUCAAUGAAUGUAGUUGUCAUAAUCCAAUAUCAUCAUCAACUGCACUUCAGUUCCAGAUCCUCUUAUUUUCUUUAAGAGUCAACAAAUUAUUUUCAAGUGUUAUUUGAGUUUUAGUCAUACCAACAAGUACUACUUCUUUAGUAAAAUUGAAACCCUGAGCAACAUCUGAUAUUUUCGAUCAACUCUUCCAUUUUGAUGGGGAGUGCAAACACAGUUUGAUGAAUAAUGCCUUUAGAAGACAAUAAAUCUUUAAGAAAAAUUUCUGAAAUUUUGAACAUUUGUUUUGACCUUAGUUUUGGAUUUUUAAUAGGACAAUUCCAGUGAAUCUACCGUAAUCGUCAAGAAUGCUUUAAAAAUAUUUGUAAUCAUCAAUAGAAGUAGAGGAAAAAGGGCCUCAAAUGUCCAUAUGGAUUAAAUAAAAAAAAAUUGAUGCUCUACUGGUACUGGAAGAAUAAGGCAAUCUUUUUCGU
RNAcentral lists this small RNA (761 nucleotides) under Vigna angularis var. angularis. RNAcentral's name for it is "Non-protein coding transcript". Lineage: Eukaryota; Viridiplantae; Streptophyta; Magnoliopsida; Fabales; Fabaceae. The record is from RNAcentral.